RNAcentral lists this ribosomal RNA (441 nucleotides) under uncultured bacterium. RNAcentral's name for it is "partial 16S ribosomal RNA". It matches the Rfam family "Bacterial small subunit ribosomal RNA", at positions 338 to 795 of the family's 1533-position model. The record is from RNAcentral.
CCUACGGGUGGCUGCAGUAGGGAAUCUUGCACAAUGGGCGAAAGCCUGAUGCAGCAACGCCGCGUGCGGGAAGAAGGCCUUAGGGUUGUAAACCGCUUUCAGCAGGGAAGAAAAUGACGGUACCUGUAGAAGAAGGUGCGGCCAACUACGUGCCAGCAGCCGCGGUGACACGUAGGCACCAAGCGUUGUCCGGAUUUAUUGGGCGUAAAGAGCUCGUAGGCGGUUCGGUAAGUCGGGUGUGAAAACUCUGGGCUCAACCCAGAGCCGCCACCCGAUACUGCUGUGACUCGAGUGCGGUAGGGGAGCGGGGAAUUCCUGGUGUAGCGGUGAAAUGCGCAGAUAUCAGGAGGAACACCAGUGGCGAAGGCGCCGCUCUGGGCCGUGACUGACGCUGAGGAGCGAAAGCGUGGGUAGCAAACAGGAUUAGAUACCCGAGUAGUC